Molecule: ribosomal RNA, 1082 nt
Filed under: Staphylococcus aureus
Lineage: Bacteria; Bacillati; Bacillota; Bacilli; Caryophanales; Staphylococcaceae
Description: partial 23S ribosomal RNA
Rfam family: Bacterial large subunit ribosomal RNA
Source: RNAcentral
AAUCUGGGAGGACCAUCUCCUAAGGCUAAAUACUCUCUAGUGACCGAUAGUGAACCAGUACCGUGAGGGAAAGGUGAAAAGCACCCCGGAAGGGGAGUGAAAUAGAACCUGAAACCGUGUGCUUACAAGUAGUCAGAGCCCGUUAAUGGGUGAUGGCGUGCCUUUUGUAGAAUGAACCGGCGAGUUACGAUUUGAUGCAAGGUUAAGCAGUAAAUGUGGAGCCGUAGCGAAAGCGAGUCUGAAUAGGGCGUUUAGUAUUUGGUCGUAGACCCGAAACCAGGUGAUCUACCCUUGGUCAGGUUGAAGUUCAGGUAACACUGAAUGGAGGACCGAACCGACUUACGUUGAAAAGUGAGCGGAUGAACUGAGGGUAGCGGAGAAAUUCCAAUCGAACCUGGAGAUAGCUGGUUCUCUCCGAAAUAGCUUUAGGGCUAGCCUCAAGUGAUGAUUAUUGGAGGUAGAGCACUGUUUGGACGAGGGGCCCCUCUCGGGUUACCGAAUUCAGACAAACUCCGAAUGCCAAUUAAUUUAACUUGGGAGUCAGAACAUGGGUGAUAAGGUCCGUGUUCGAAAGGGAAACAGCCCAGACCACCAGCUAAGGUCCCAAAAUAUAUGUUAAGUGGAAAAGGAUGUGGCGUUGCCCAGACAACUAGGAUGUUGGCUUAGAAGCAGCCAUCAUUUAAAGAGUGCGUAAUAGCUCACUAGUCGAGUGACACUGCGCCGAAAAUGUACCGGGGCUAAACAUAUUACCGAAGCUGUGGAUUGUCCUUUGGACAAUGGUAGGAGAGCGUUCUAAGGGCGUUGAAGCAUGAUCGUAAGGACAUGUGGAGCGCUUAGAAGUGAGAAUGCCGGUGUGAGUAGCGAAAGACGGGUGAGAAUCCCGUCCACCGAUUGACUAAGGUUUCCAGAGGAAGGCUCGUCCGCUCUGGGUUAGUCGGGUCCUAAGCUGAGGCCGACAGGCGUAGGCGAUGGAUAACAGGUUGAUAUUCCUGUACCACCUAUAAUCGUUUUAAUCGAUGGGGGGACGCAGUAGGAUAGGCGAAGCGUGCGAUUGGAUUGCACGUCUAAGCAGUAAGGCUGAG